This 169-nucleotide ribosomal RNA is filed under the name uncultured bacterium. RNAcentral's name for it is "partial 16S ribosomal RNA". It matches the Rfam family "Bacterial small subunit ribosomal RNA", at positions 338 to 520 of the family's 1533-position model. The record is from RNAcentral.
CCUACGGGAGGCAGCAGUUAGGGGAAUUUUCGGGCAAUGGGCGCAAGCCUGAUCCAGCAACGCCGCGUGUGUGGAUGAAGGCCUCGGGUUGUAAAGCACUUUCAGUUGGGAAGAUAAUGACGUUACCAACAGAAGAAGCACCGGCUAACUCCGUGCCCAGCAGCCGCGG